UACAUGGGGUGCAAACGUUGCUCGGAAUCAUUGGGCGUAAAGCGCGCGUAGGCGGUUACUUAAGUCGGAUGUGAAAGCCCUCGGCUUAACCGAGGAAGUGCAUCCGAAACUGAGUAGCUAGAGUACUAAAGAGGGUCGCGGAAUUCCCGGUGUAGAGGUGAAAUUCGUAGAUAUCGGGAGGAACACCGGUGGCGAAGGCGGCGACCUGGGUAGAUACUGACGCUGAGGCGCGAAAGCGUGGGGAGCAAACAGG
Molecule: ribosomal RNA, 253 nt
Filed under: uncultured bacterium
Lineage: Bacteria
Description: partial 16S ribosomal RNA
Rfam family: Bacterial small subunit ribosomal RNA
Source: RNAcentral